GGAGCUGCACAGGAUGAGCGGAGGUGAAACCAGCUGAUGUCGGCAGCAAGCGUGGGAUGUGGGAAACCAAGAGAGGCUCUACACCAUCUAAGGUGCCAGUUGGAGGGAGAA
Nematolebias whitei (Rio pearlfish) is the source of this 111-nucleotide long non-coding RNA. RefSeq lists it as uncharacterized. NCBI's taxonomy places the organism in Eukaryota, Metazoa, Chordata, Actinopteri, Cyprinodontiformes, Rivulidae. The transcript is spliced from 3 exons. The record is from RefSeq and is a predicted model, not a curated record.